UACGUAGGGGGCAAGCGUUGUUCGGAAUUACUGGGCGUAAAGGGUGCGUAGGCGGCGCGGUAAGUCGGGUGUGAAAUUUCGAGGCUUAACUUCGAAACUGCAUUCGAUACUGCCGUGCUUGAGGACUGGAGAGGAGACUGGAAUUUACGGUGUAGCGGUGAAAUGCGUAGAUAUCGUAAGGAAGACCAGUGGCGAAGGCGGGUCUCUGGACAGUUCCUGACGCUGAGGCACGAAGGCCAGGGGAGCAAACGGG
This 253-nucleotide ribosomal RNA is filed under the name uncultured bacterium. Its description in RNAcentral is "partial 16S ribosomal RNA". It matches the Rfam family "Bacterial small subunit ribosomal RNA", at positions 524 to 776 of the family's 1533-position model. The record is from RNAcentral.